Molecule: ribosomal RNA, 484 nt
Filed under: uncultured bacterium
Lineage: Bacteria
Description: partial 16S ribosomal RNA
Rfam family: Bacterial small subunit ribosomal RNA
Source: RNAcentral
AUUGAACGCUGGCGGCAGGCCUAACACAUGCAAGUCGAGCGGAUGAAGGGAGCUUGCUCCUGGAUUCAGCGGCGGACGGGUGAGUAAUGCCUAGGAAUCUGCCUGGUAGUGGGGGAUAACGUCCGGAAACGGGCGCUAAUACCGCAUACGUCCUGAGGGAGAAAGUGGGGGAUCUUCGGACCUCACGCUAUCAGAUGAGCCUAGGUCGGAUUAGCUAGUUGGUGGGGUAAAGGCCUACCAAGGCGACGAUCCGUAACUGGUCUGAGAGGAUGACCAGUCACACUGGAACUGAGACACGGUCCAGACUCCUACGGGAAGCAGCAGUGGGGAAUAUUGGGCGAUGGGCGAAAGCCUGAUCCAGCCAUACCGCGUGUGUGAAGAAGGUCUUAUGAUUGGAAAGCACUUUAAGUUGGAAGAAAGGGCAGUAAGUUAAUACCUUGCUGUUUUGACGGUACCAACAGAAUAAGCACCGGCUAACUUCGUG